CCUACGGGUGGCAGCAGUGAGGAAUAUUGGUCAAUGGGCGCGAGCCUGAACCAGCCAAGUAGCGUGAAUGAAGACGGCCCUACGGGUUUUAAACUCUUUCUAUAAAGGAAUAAAGUGCGGCACGUGUUCCUUUUUGCAUGUACCUUAUGAAUAAGGAUCGGCUAACUCGGUGCCAGCAGCCGCGGUAAUACGGAGGUUCCGAGCGUUAUCCGGAUUUAGUGGGUGUAAAGGGAGCGUAGAUGGGUUGUUAAGUCCGUCGUGAAAGGUUGUGGCUCAACCGUAAAAUUGCAAUUGAUACUGGCAGUCUUGAGUACAGGUGAGGUAGGCGGAAUUCGUGGUGUAGCGGUGAAAUGCUUAGAUAUCACGAAGAACUCCGAUGGCGAAGGCAGCUUACUGAACUGCAACUGACAUUGAUGCUCGAAAGUGUGGGGAUCAAACAGGAUUAGAUACCCGGGUAGUC
Molecule: ribosomal RNA, 460 nt
Filed under: uncultured bacterium
Lineage: Bacteria
Description: partial 16S ribosomal RNA
Rfam family: Bacterial small subunit ribosomal RNA
Source: RNAcentral